ACCCAGUUGACGAGUCUUAAAUAAGACGAAACACGCAUCCUGGAU
Molecule: non-coding RNA, 45 nt
Filed under: Schistosoma margrebowiei
Lineage: Eukaryota; Metazoa; Platyhelminthes; Trematoda; Strigeidida; Schistosomatidae
Source: RNAcentral